GACAGAGGGUGCAAACGUUGUUCGGAAUUACUGGGCGUAAAGCGCGUGUAGGCGGCUCGGAAAGUCGGGUGUGAAAGCCCUGGGCUUAACCCAGGAAGUGCACUCGAAACUUCCGAGCUGGAGUCCUGGAGAGGAAGGCGGAAUUCUCGGUGUAGAGGUGAAAUUCGUAGAUAUCGAGAGGAACACCGGUGGCGAAGGCGGCCUUCUGGACAGUGACUGACGCUGAGACGCGAAAGCGUGGGGAGCAAACAGGAUUAGAUACCCCCGUAGUCC
This 273-nucleotide ribosomal RNA is filed under the name uncultured bacterium. RNAcentral's name for it is "partial 16S ribosomal RNA". It matches the Rfam family "Bacterial small subunit ribosomal RNA", at positions 524 to 796 of the family's 1533-position model. The record is from RNAcentral.